Molecule: long non-coding RNA, 2494 nt
Organism: Lemur catta (Ring-tailed lemur)
Lineage: Eukaryota; Metazoa; Chordata; Mammalia; Primates; Lemuridae
Exons: 6
Source: RefSeq, a predicted model, not a curated record
CCUUGCGGCCACUGUUGGGGGCGGUGCGAAGGCUCUCAGGAAGUUCCCUACCCCAGCAGACGUUCCCAGCUCCCACCCGGGGCGAGACGGCUGAGAGGGGCCAUACUCACACCACCAGGCGACAGAUCAUCCAGGACACCAUCCUGCCAGCCUUGGGGACAACCCCAGAAAGACGCCCAGAGGGACGUUCACGCCAGACCUAAGACGGAGGGAUCAGCGGAGGUGCGGGAACCCGUGGGGUGGUCCGGCUGCCCCUCGGCGGAGGCGGGGCCGACGGCCCGCUGGCUGCGACCCGCAGUUCCGGGAGCCUGGAGGACACGAAGGCCAGCGGACCGGGGCCGCGGCGGCCCAGCAGGAGGAGGAAGGCUGCGACUGAAUAGGGGACCAGCUCAAGGAAGAGUGGGGAGUUCCAGAAGAGGAAGGGGACAGCCACGACUUGGGAGGUAACCAUGCACAUGUGAGCCUCAGCUCCUUUGGUGCCUGCUGCAGGACUGCCCCUCCCCACUGGCUGCCUCCUGGAGCCGCGCACCUGACCCCAGCAUCCCUGGCCUCUCUCUAAUCCUGUUCCCUGGGAAGGGUUCUGUGCCCACCCUAAGCCCACCCAGCUGGGACAGUCUCUCACAUGCAGACUCCUGGUCCCAAUGCCUGUGCUUGGUGAAUCUAAGGCAUAGGACGUCGCUUACCGCAGGCUCAGCGUGGAGAGGGGUGAGCCUGGCGGCUAAAGAGUGUCACCCUCCUUGGCUUUGGCAGAGUGAGUGGACCUUGUUUCUUGCAGCCUUUGGUCGUGAGCUGUUGACACAGUCACCCAGUUACACUGGGUUGCUAAGCAGCGCUCUGGACACAUGGACAAGCCCCAGGGCAGGUGACCAGGCAGGCACACAGCAGAAAGCCGGGCAUUCAGGGGCCAAGGGAGCAAAACAUCUCCCACCCCCCAGAGGAGCUCCCCCCUGGGGGAAGCAGCUGUCAAAGUGAUAUUUAUCUUUCUGCUGGGCAACGGCGUGCCAAUGUGUCUGGAAGGCUCAACCCACUUUCCCUGGCAACCUCUCCCAGGCACAGGACAGGGCCCAUGUCCCAUUUGCAAAAGCAGGACAGGCCGCUCCAGGAUGAUGGGGGAGCCUGCUGGGCUGAGAGCACUUGAACGUGGCUUGAGGAAGUGGAAACCCAGAGGAGUCACCCAUCCUGAGGAGCUGUCGCGGGUUGGCUGGGUACCAAGGCUGCAGGAGCCACAAUCCCAAAAGAUGCGGGAACCAGGGGAUGGUCCCAGCCUGAGGAAGCAACAGCUACAGAAAGAAAAGCAGAAAGGCUUUCAGCUGGGGGGCCCUCCUCUCCACAGUGUACGGCGACAGGAGCGUAGACAGGCGUGGAACUGAGUGUCUGUCAGCGUCCCCGAGUGCGUGCAGAAGGGGCGGGCAGGGGUGAGUGCACCCAGCGCAGCCACGGGCUGCAGUGGGGAACACGGGCAGACAAGCAAACACCCAGAGCACCGACAGGAGAGACCAGAGGGUCAGAAGGACAAGCCUGAGGACAGGCAGGUCCCCUCCUUCCCAGCAACCCCCUGGCACCACCAAUAUGUACGAGGCAGGGAAGCAGAGCAAGGGGGCCUGCGGGUGGGGUGAGGGACACUGGGUGCCAGGGGUCCUGGGUGUGCCCGGUGCGUAUACAGGUGCUCAUGCUGACUACAGAGGUGAUAAAUGUCUCCCUGGCCAGUACAUGGGGUGUGUCGUGCCCACCGGGUGUGUGUAUGCAAGGGCUCGGGUAUAGGCUGGCCACGUGUGUCUUCACACGGGCACAUCUGCUGCUCAUGGAGUCCCCCACCCAGCCUCCAGAGGCCACCCCGAGGAGCCCAGAGGCCUCGGACACCCCUAGGCACUGAGAUCCACCACCACAUGUCGGUACACCAGCGUCUGUCCCUUGAAGCUGGGGGCCAGGAGCAGCUGGGCGUCCCCAGCAGGCACGUAGCAGAAGGCCCGAGGGGCCUGCACGGCCAGCUCCUGGAACCGUACAAACUUCUGUCUCCCCUCGUCCCACUGGUAGAUCUGGGUGAAGGAGAAGUCGCUGCCCAGCGCCAGGUAGCGGCGGCCACCCACGAGGAAGGGCUGCAGGGCCAGCGAGCCCCGGGAGGGCAGGGCCUGCACCUCGGAGAAGCGGGUGCCCUCCCAGCGCAGGAUCUUGGAGUCCCCGAUGUAGCGGCUGAGGCACAGGUAGCUGUCUCGGCCGGCACGGAAGUGUUUCACAGCCUGGGCGUCAGGCACCUGGGUCACCUCCCCCUGGGCCACAAACUGCUUCUGGGUGCGACUCCACUGGUAGAUGACGGGCGCCUGGGAGCUGCUAGACACAAUCAGCCGUGGUUUGCCCUCGCCGUCCACAAACUCAAGUUGCUGUGCUAAUUAAUCCUGCUGAAAAGGACCCCAUUACUCUUCCAUUUGACGCAGAAAGAAACUGAGGCUCAGAGAGAAGAGGGGAUCUUACGCUGCUCUGUCACCCAGGCUGGAGU